RNAcentral lists this ribosomal RNA (254 nucleotides) under uncultured bacterium. Its description in RNAcentral is "partial 16S ribosomal RNA". It matches the Rfam family "Bacterial small subunit ribosomal RNA", at positions 79 to 334 of the family's 1533-position model. The record is from RNAcentral.
CUUUCUUUGCUGGCGACCGGCGCACGGGUGAGUAACACGUAUCCAACCUGCCCUUUACUCGGGGAUAGCCUUUCGAAAGAAAGAUUAAUACCCGAUAGUAUAAUGAUUCCGCAUGGUUUCAUUAUUAAAGGAUUCCGGUAAAGGAUGGGGAUGCGUUCCAUUAGGUUGUUGGUGAGGUAACGGCUCACCAAGCCUUCGAUGGAUAGGGGUUCUGAGAGGAAGGUCCCCCACAUUGGAACUGAGACACGGUCUAA